RNAcentral lists this ribosomal RNA (310 nucleotides) under uncultured bacterium. RNAcentral's name for it is "bacterial SSU rRNA". It matches the Rfam family "Bacterial small subunit ribosomal RNA", at positions 209 to 507 of the family's 1533-position model. The record is from RNAcentral.
CUUCGGACCUCUCGCUAAUAGAUGAGCCUAGGCCGGAUUAGCUAGUUGGUAAGGGUAAAGGCCUACCAAGGCGACGAUCUGUAGCUGGUCUGAGAGGAUGGCCAGCCACACUGGAACUGAGACACGGUCCAGACUCCUACGGGAGGCAGCAGGUGGGAAUAUUGGACAAUGGGGCAACCCUGAUCCAGCCAUGCCGCGUGUGUGAAGAAGGCCUUCGGGUUGUAAAGCACUUUAAGCGAGGAGGAAGGUUUUAGUUUAAUACACUAAAGAAUUGACGUUACUCGCAGAAUAAGCACCGGCUAACUCUGUG